UACGAAGGGGGCUAGCGUUGCUCGGAUUGACUGGGCGUAAAGGGCGCGUGGGCGGUUUGCAUAGUCAGACGUGAAAUUCCUGGGCUUAACCUGGGGGCUGCGUUUGAUACAUGCAGGCUUGAGUUCGGAAGAGGGUCGUGGAAUUCCCAGUGUAGAGGUGAAAUUCGUAGAUAUUCGGAAGAACACCAGUGGCGAAGGCGACUUACUGGACACAUAUUGACGCUGAGGUGCGAAAGCGUGGGGAGCAAACAGG
This 253-nucleotide ribosomal RNA is filed under the name uncultured bacterium. Its description in RNAcentral is "partial 16S ribosomal RNA". It matches the Rfam family "Bacterial small subunit ribosomal RNA", at positions 524 to 776 of the family's 1533-position model. The record is from RNAcentral.